UACGGGGGGGAUAAGCGUUGUUCGGAAUUACUGGGCGUAAAGGGCUCGUAGGCGGCCAACUAAGUCAGACGUGAAAUCCCUCAGCUUAACUGGGGAACUGCGUGUGAUACUGGAUGGCUUGGAUUUGGGAGAGGGAUGCGGAAUUCCAGGUGUAGCGGUGAAAUGCGUAGAUAUCUGGAGGAACACCGGUGGCGAAGGCGGCAUCCUGGACCAAUAUUGACGCUGAGGAGCGAAAGCCAGGGGAGCAAACGGG
Molecule: ribosomal RNA, 253 nt
Filed under: uncultured bacterium
Lineage: Bacteria
Description: partial 16S ribosomal RNA
Rfam family: Bacterial small subunit ribosomal RNA
Source: RNAcentral